This 31-nucleotide non-coding RNA is filed under the name Mus musculus (house mouse). The record is from RNAcentral. Lineage: Eukaryota; Metazoa; Chordata; Mammalia; Rodentia; Muridae.
UUCUUGGUUCCACAAGCAGUAUUUAUCAAUA